AGUGAACGCUGGCGGUAGGCCUAACACAUGCAAGUCGAACGGCAGCACAGUAAGAGCUUGCUCUUACGGGUGGCGAGUGGCGGACGGGUGAGGAAUACAUCGGAAUCUACUUUUUCGUGGGGGAUAACGUAGGGAAACUUACGCUAAUACCGCAUACGACCUACGGGUGAAAGCAGGGGAUCUUCGGACCUUGCGCGAUUGAAUGAGCCGAUGUCGGAUUAGCUAGUUGGCGGGGUAAAGGCCCACCAAGGCGACGAUCCGUAGCUGGUCUGAGAGGAUGAUCAGCCACAAUGGAACUGAGUCACGGUCCAGCCUCCUACGGGAGGCAGCAGUGGGGCAUAUUGGACAAUGGGCGCACGCCUGAUCCAGCCUUUCCGCGUGAGUGAAGAACGCCUUCUUGUUGUACAGCCCUUUUGUUGGGAAAGAAAAGCAGCAGGUUAAUACCCCGCUGUUCUGCCGGUACCCAAAGAAUAAGCACCGGCUAACUUCGU
RNAcentral lists this ribosomal RNA (491 nucleotides) under uncultured bacterium. Its description in RNAcentral is "partial 16S ribosomal RNA". It matches the Rfam family "Bacterial small subunit ribosomal RNA", at positions 29 to 506 of the family's 1533-position model. The record is from RNAcentral.